CCUGCUGUGCCAGCUGUGCCUGCUGUGCCAGCUGUGCCUGCUGCCACCCAGCACUGCAGCCUGUCAGGGGACUCACCAGUGCGAGACAUUAGAGGAAAACCAGGAGAGGGAAUUUUUCUGGAGUACACAUCGCUCCCAAACUCCUCUGAAUCGGGCUGCAAUGGAGGGACCUGCCUCGGUGCUGUGCCUGAGAACCUGCUACAUAAAACACUGCAAACCACUCCGAGCCACUGACAAUCCACCUGAGCUGGGACAAUCCCACCUCUCCAGGAGCUGCAGUUGCUCUCACAGGAUGGUGCAAAAAAGGCACUCAAACACUGUUAGCAAGUGUGCCUUGCCCAUCAUCCCAGAAUAUCCAGGCUUCCAGGAUAUUAAGCUAUCAAGAAAUUACGUGGGAAUUCCAGCCUUCAACCAACUUUUCCAGGAUUUGGAAAGAGGAAAGAACUCCUCAUCCCAGCUGAAGGAUUUUUCAAGGAGACCUUCGUUAGCCCAAUGCUUGGGGAGCUCCCGGAGAGGCUCCUUGGAAGGGCCCCUGACCACCAGCACUGCCUUCCACGACAAACCACUGCAGGAGUAUUUCAACGAGAGGCUGCUGGAGCUGGGGAGCUAUGGAAGUAAGAGAUCCAACAGGAAAGCAAAAGCAUUUGGUGAUCAGAGCCCCCAGCGAGGGUCCCGGCGCAGGAGCAGCUGCAGCGCCCUGCUGGGGAAGGGGCAGGACAGGGAGGGGUCCUGUGUGCCAGCAAACCAGGACAGCCAGAAAGGGAUCCAGUGGAACGGGCAGGACAAAAUCCAGAAUGUCCUGAAGCUCUAUAAGAGUGACUGUUUGGACAUUCUGACAAUGCACAUCACCGCUCCCUUAGAAGUAUUUGUGCAGAAGAAAUGACACCAGGGCUGGUUACAGCUUUCCCAGGAAAAAUUGUUCCUGUUCAGCACCAUCCCGACUUUAGUUCAGACACGUCAGCCCCCCCUGACACAGAAAGAUGCUUGUUUGGGGGAGGAAAUAGUCUCUCAUUUUGUGUUCUUGAUUUACAUCGCAUAGAUUUGUCUUCAGCUAUUUUCUGCAGAGAAUCAGCAUAAUUGCCCCAUAGGUGUGACUCAUAGCAGAGCUCUAAAUAUGUGCAUAUAUUACUUAAAUGCUUACAUGGCCUUGAAAAAGGUGAUAAGUGUCAGAGGUGUAGCUUGUUUCCUAUUGUGGAGUUUGUGUUAGUUAAUCUGAAGAAAGAAUGUUGUGUUCUGCCUAGUUACUUUGCUUGUUUUAAGCCUCUAGGUUUUAUCACUGUGGCCCAAGUAAUUUAUGGUCUUAUUAUCUCUUAUUUAUGACACAGACAAAAUAGCUGAUGAAAAAUUAUCGAUUUUCACUCGUUGCCACAUGUAAUCUCCAGGUGGAUCACUGUAAGAGCUUGACACGUGAAGAAGCAAACACAGAGAGAAGAUUUACUUUUAAAUAUGAUCAGCUAUUAUGGUUUCAUUUGCAGACUCAGAAACCUUUGAGUUAAAAGCCACCACAAGGGCAAAGAGGAAAAAAAUGCUAGAUUCGAGUCAGAAUGAUGGAAUUAAGCAUGAAAGAAGGCUCCUUCCUACUUUCCUAUUGUAAAUAUGAGAACAACACAGCAAAUUCCUAAUGUAAUCUGAGCUUCAAAUUGUUUAUGGGAUUAGUAUUUAUCGUGGUUGUGUAAGUAUACAAUGUCAGCUGCAGCUGAAGCUUUUCAUUGUGGGAAAUGUCAAUGUUUAAUUCCACAGUGCACUGACUGAAUACCAGAGCCAAAGUGGGGCAAUGAUUUUAAGCUUCCAGAAAGAUCUACUACUGCCUGUGGUAUCAUUGGCAAUAAAUUCAUUAUGGUGUUGGUUUGAA
Long non-coding RNA from Pseudopipra pipra, 1852 nucleotides. RefSeq lists it as uncharacterized. Lineage: Eukaryota; Metazoa; Chordata; Aves; Passeriformes; Pipridae. The transcript is spliced from 2 exons. The record is from RefSeq and is a predicted model, not a curated record.